UUUCGGUUGAUCCUGCCGGAGSCAUUGCUAUCGGAGUCCGAUUUAGCCAUGCUAGUCGCACGAGUUCAGACUCGUGGCAUAUAGCUCAGUAACACGUGGCCAAACUACCCUACAGACCGCGAUAACCUCGGGAAACUGAGGCCAAUAGCGGAUAUAACUCCCAUGCUGGAGUGCAGAGAGUUAGAAACGUUCCGGCGCUGUAGGAUGUGGCUGCGGCCGAUUAGGUAGAUGGUGGGGUAACGGCCCACCAUGCCGAUAAUCGGUACAGGUUGUGAGAGCAAGAGCCUGGAGACGGUAUCUGAGACAAGAUACCGGGCCCUACGGGGCGCAGCAGGCGCGAAACCUUUACACUGCACGACAGUGCGAUAGGGGGACUCCGAGUGUGAGGGCAUAUAGCCCACGCUUUUCUGUACCGUAAGGUGGUACAGGAACAAGGACUGGGCAAGACCGGUGCCAGCYGCCGCGGUAAUACCGGCAGUCCAAGUGAUGGCCGAUAUUAUUGGGCCUAAAGCGUCCGUAGCUUGCUGUGUAAGUCCAUUUGGGAAAUCGACCAGCUCAACUGGUCGGCGUCCGGUGGAAACUACACAGCUUGGGGCCGAGAGACUCAACGGGUACGUCCGGGGUAGGAGUGAAAUCCUGUAAUCCUGGACGGACCACCAAUGGGGAAACCACGUUGAGAGACCGGACCUGACAGUGAGGGACGAAAGCCAGGGUCUCGAACCGGAUUAGAUACCCGGGUAGUCCUGGCUGUAAACAAUGCUCGCUAGGUAUGUCACGCGCCAUGAGCACGUGAUUGUGCCC
This 801-nucleotide ribosomal RNA is filed under the name uncultured archaeon. RNAcentral's name for it is "bacterial SSU rRNA". It matches the Rfam family "Archaeal small subunit ribosomal RNA", at positions 1 to 803 of the family's 1478-position model. The record is from RNAcentral.